ACCGUGCCACUGCACUCCAGUCUGAGUGACAAAGCAAGACUGAAAAAAAAAGUAAGCACACACUCACAGUGUCUACAGGGUCCCAGCACUGACACCCAGUUCUCACACUCAGUGUCUACAGGGUCCCAGCAACGACGCCCAGUUCUCACACUCACAGUGUCUACAGGGUUCCAGCACUGACACCCAGUUCUCACACUCAGUGUCUACAGCGUGACAGCACCGAAACCCAGUUCUCACCCUCAGAGUAUCUACAGGGUCCCAGCACCGACGCCCAGUUCUCACACUCACAGUGUCUACAGGGUCCCAGCACUGACACCCAGUUCUCACACUCACAGUGUCUACAGGGUCCCAGACACCGACAACCAGUUCUCACACUCACUGUCUACGGGGUCCCAGCACCGACACCCAUUUCUCACACUCACUGUCUACAGGGUCCCAGCACCGACGCCCAGUUCUCACACUCACUGUCUACGGGGUCCCAGCACGGACACCCAGUUCUCACUCACAGUGUCUACAGGGUCCCAGCACCAACACCCAGUUCUCACACUCACAGUGUCUACAGCGUCCCAGCACCGACGCCCAGUUCUCACACUCAGUGUCUACAGGGUCCCAGCACCGACGCCCAGUUCUCACACUCAGUGUCUACAGGGUCCCAGCACCGACGCCCAGUUCUCACAAUCAGUGUCUACAGGGUCCCAGCACCGACACCCAGUUCUCACACUCAGUGUCUAC
Molecule: long non-coding RNA, 732 nt
Filed under: Pan troglodytes (chimpanzee)
Lineage: Eukaryota; Metazoa; Chordata; Mammalia; Primates; Hominidae
Description: long non-coding RNA NONPTRT012860
Source: RNAcentral